UUGAGUGGCGAACGGGUGAGUAACACGUGGGCAACCUGCCCAAAAGAGGGGGAUAACACUUGGAAACAGGUGCUAAUACCGCAUAACCAUAGUUACCGCAUGGUAACUAUGUAAAAGGUGGCUAUACUACCGCUUUUGGAUGGGCCCGCGGCGCAUUAGCUAGUUGGUAGGGUAAAGGCUUACCAAGGCAAUGAUGCGUAGCCGAAUUGAGAGGUUGAUCGGCCACAUUGGGACUGAGACACGGCCCAAACUCCUACGGAAGGCAGCAG
This 269-nucleotide ribosomal RNA is filed under the name uncultured bacterium. Its description in RNAcentral is "partial 16S ribosomal RNA". It matches the Rfam family "Bacterial small subunit ribosomal RNA", at positions 91 to 354 of the family's 1533-position model. The record is from RNAcentral.